RNAcentral lists this ribosomal RNA (399 nucleotides) under uncultured bacterium. RNAcentral's name for it is "bacterial SSU rRNA". It matches the Rfam family "Bacterial small subunit ribosomal RNA", at positions 28 to 424 of the family's 1533-position model. The record is from RNAcentral.
GACGAACGCUGGCGGCGUGCCUAACACAUGCAAGUCGAGCGGGGUCCAACCGGUGGCAACACCGGGGAAGGCCUAGCGGCGAACGGGUGAGGAACACGUGAGGAACCUGCCCCGAAGUCUGGGAUAACACCAGGAAACCGGUGCUAACACCGGAUGUCCUCUUCUUGGCGCAUGCCAGGAAGAGGAAAGGUUACGCUUCGGGAGGGUCUCGCGGCCUAUCAGCUUGUUGGCGGGGUAACGCCCACCAAGGCACGACGGGUAGCUGGUCUGAGAGGACGACCAGCCACACUGGGGACUGAGACACGGCCCAGACUCCUACGGGAGGCAGCAGUGGGGAAUCUUGCGCAAUGGGCGAAAGCCUGACGCAGCAACGCCGCGUGCGGGACGAAGGCCUCGGUU